Molecule: ribosomal RNA, 588 nt
Filed under: Triticum aestivum (bread wheat)
Lineage: Eukaryota; Viridiplantae; Streptophyta; Magnoliopsida; Poales; Poaceae
Description: partial small subunit ribosomal RNA
Source: RNAcentral
AUGGUGUUACGGAAGCCGAGGAACCCAUGCUCCUUGCUCUUGUUCAUGUUGUCCAAAUGCUCAAUGUCGAUACUGAGCAUGGCAUCGACAAACCACCAACUGGUGAUCUCCUCGAGCUCCGUGGUGACAAGCUCGUUCUCCUGGAUGAUCUCCGUCCACACCGCCUCCUUCCCAGCCAUGGCAUCCGCGAGCGCAAACCGGCUGUCCUCUCCCUCAUACCCUGCCCACUCCACCCCGAAGCGGUCGGCCAGCAGCGGCCAGAGUUGCUUCCACUUGAACACAUCCCCAUUGCUGCAAUUGAAAGCCUCGUUCUUGGCAAACGGGUCGACGGCCGCCCAGAUCUCAUGCUCAGCGACAAGGUCGGCGUCGGAGGCGUCGGUGAAGCCCUCCCAGGCGACCUUGCAGCCGGGCCACCGCAGCGUGGCGCCCUCCUUGCGGCAGAUGGCGGCGUAUACGCACAGGCUGCCGACCACGUUCAUGGCGCUGCGGGGGGAGAAGCCGAAGAUGACGGUGGGGCGGUGCACGGACCAGGUGACGGCGCCGUCGCGGCCGGAGACGUGGUCGAAGAGGACGUCCUCCAGGUCGUAG